GGCAGCAGCCGCGGUAACACCGGCGGCCCGAGUGGUGAUCGUGAUUAUUGGGUCUAAAGGGUCCGUAGCCGGUUUGGUCAGUCCUCCGGGAAAUCUGAUAGCUCAACUAUUAGGCUUUCGGGGGAUACUGCCAGACUUGGAACCGGGAGAGGUAAGAGGUACUACAGGGGUAGGAGUGAAAUCUUGUAAUCCCUGUGGGACCACCUGUGGCGAAGGCGUCUUACCAGAACGGGUUCGACGGUGAGGGACGAAAGCUGGGGGCACGAACCGGAUUAGAUACCCGGGUAGUCCCAGCCGUAAACGAUGCUCGCUAGGUGUCAGGCAUGGCGCGACCGUGUCUGGUGCCGCAGGGAAGCCGUGAAGCGAGCCACCUGGGAAGUACGGCCGCAAGGCUGAAACUUAAAGGAAUUGGCGGGGGAGCACAACAACGGGUGGAAGCCUGCGGUUUAAUUGGACUCAACGCCGGACAACUCACCGGGGGCGACAGCAAUAUGUAGGCCAAGCUGAAGACUUUGCCUGAAUCGCUGAGGGGUGGUGCAUGG
RNAcentral lists this ribosomal RNA (542 nucleotides) under uncultured archaeon. RNAcentral describes it as "bacterial SSU rRNA". It matches the Rfam family "Archaeal small subunit ribosomal RNA", at positions 457 to 997 of the family's 1478-position model. The record is from RNAcentral.